GUGGGGAAUAUUGGACAAUGGGGGCAACCCUGAUCCAGCAAUGCCGCGUGUGUGAAGAAGGCCUUCGGGUUGUAAAGCACUUUCGGUGGGGACAAACAAGGCGGAGCUAACAUCUCCGUCCCUGAUGGUACCCAAAGAAGAAGCACCGGCUAACUCUGUGCCAGCAGCCGCGGUAAUACAGAGGGUGCAAGCGUUAAUCGGAAUUACUGGGCGUAAAGCGUGCGUAGGUGGUUUGUUAAGUCAGGUGUGAAAUCCUCGGGCUCAACCCGGGAACUGCGCUUGAUACUGACAGACUCGAGUGUGGUAGAGGAUAGUGGAAUUCCCGGUGUAGCGGUGAAAUGCGUAGAUAUCGGGAGGAACAUCAGUGGCGAAGGCGGCUAUCUGGACCAACACUGACACUGAGGUACGAAAGCGUGGGUAGCAAACAGGAUUAGAAACCCGAGUAGUCC
RNAcentral lists this ribosomal RNA (449 nucleotides) under uncultured bacterium. RNAcentral describes it as "bacterial SSU rRNA". It matches the Rfam family "Bacterial small subunit ribosomal RNA", at positions 354 to 796 of the family's 1533-position model. The record is from RNAcentral.